RNAcentral lists this ribosomal RNA (253 nucleotides) under uncultured bacterium. Its description in RNAcentral is "partial 16S ribosomal RNA". It matches the Rfam family "Bacterial small subunit ribosomal RNA", at positions 524 to 776 of the family's 1533-position model. The record is from RNAcentral.
UACAGAGGUGGCAAGCGUUGUUCGGAAUUACUGGGCGUAAAGGGCGCGUAGGCGGCCUUCUAAGUCAGACGUGAAAUCCCCCGGCUUAACCUGGGAACUGCGUCUGAUACUGGGAGGCUUGAGUAUGGGAGAGGGAUGUAGAAUUCCAGGUGUAGCGGUGAAAUGCGUAGAUAUCGGGAGGAACACCGGUGGCGAAGGCGGCCCCCUGGUUGGAUACUGACGCUGAGACGCGAAAGCGUGGGGAGCAAACAGG